This 927-nucleotide long non-coding RNA is filed under the name Ananas comosus (pineapple). RNAcentral's name for it is "long non-coding RNA (ACOM_LNC039592)". Lineage: Eukaryota; Viridiplantae; Streptophyta; Magnoliopsida; Poales; Bromeliaceae. The record is from RNAcentral.
CUAAAAAUAUCACCAAAUGUCGCAGUAAGUACCCUAUAUGUCAGAACAUUUCAAAGUUGUUGUAUUUAGACCCCUCCAUCAGAAAACUAGGAGAGAGAUAAAAGGAUGAGAGAGAAAAUAAGAAAAAUAAAAGAAAUGAGAGAGUGAAGAGAAAGGGAUGAGGAGAGAGACAGUGAAGAAAAAAUAAAGCAAAGAGAGAGAUGAGAGAGAAAGUGAUGAGAGAGAAAGUGAGGAGAGAGAAAGAUGAAAGUUUUAAACUUUGUGUCACGCUUUCGGGGGUGAAAACGGAUCGAAUAUGAUCGGAUAUUUGACAAAACUAUAUUCACAUCUAUACGUUUUUUUCCGGAUACGGAAAUAUGUCAUGUGCUAAAUAUUUAUUAUCACAUCCGCGAAAAAUGGAUUCGAAUAUGGUCGGAUAUUUUUCGGAUUCGAAUGUAGGUUGGAUAUGUAUAAUAUAUAUGCACAUAAACAAAAAAUUUACUUUAUUUUUCUACUUUAUUUCCUAACUAUACUUUCUCAUAAAUAAAAUAUAUAAUUUUAAUAUAUAAUUGAUUAUAAAAUAUAUGAAUAAUAUGAAAAAUCACCUCCAGUAUCUUGAUUGGCAAUGAAUUAGAGGAAAGAAAUUUGGGCGGAUUAGGUAGGAGAAAUUAGGCCGAACGGAUUAAAAAAUAUAAAGAAUAUAAAAAUAAUAAUACUAAAAGUCCGGAUAUCUACAUCUAUAUCCUUUUUUUUGGAUAUCAGAAAAAAUUUAACUUUCUAAAACCAUAUCCGUAUCCGUAUCCGACCAGAUCCGAAUAUUUUCUAUCCAGAUCCUGAUAUUAUCGAAUUCGGAUACGAAUAUUUUUGGACAAUAUCCGAUCCGUUUUCACCCUACACGCGUCUCAUAAUUCGAGUUAGAAAUUACAAUGAAUUAAAGUUGUAGAACUA